UACGAAGGGGGCUAGCGUUGCUCGGAAUGACUGGGCGUAAAGGGCGCGUAGGCGGCGCAUUUAGUCAGGCGUGAAAUUCCUGGGCUCAACCUGGGGACUGCGCUUGAUACGGGUGUGCUUGAGGAUGGAAGAGGCUCGCGGAAUUCCCAGUGUAGAGGUGAAAUUCGUAGAUAUUGGGAAGAACACCGGUGGCGAAGGCGGCGAGCUGGUCCAUUACUGACGCUGAGGCUGCGACAGCGUGGGGAGCAAACAGG
Molecule: ribosomal RNA, 254 nt
Filed under: uncultured bacterium
Lineage: Bacteria
Description: partial 16S ribosomal RNA
Rfam family: Bacterial small subunit ribosomal RNA
Source: RNAcentral